GACGAACGCUGGCGGCGUGCUUAACACAUGCAAGUGGAGCGACGAACCGGGGCUUGCCCCGGGGCAGAGCCGCGAACGGGUGAGUAACACGUGGGUAACCCACCCCGAUGACCGGGACAACCCGAGGAAACUCGGGCUAAUACCGGAUGUGCUCCUUGACCUCGAGGUCAAGGCGUAAAGAUAGCUUCGGCCUUCGCAUCGGGACGGGCCCGCGGCCCAUUAGCUUGUUGGUGGGGUAAAGGCCUACCAAGGCGACGAUGGGUAGCUGGUCUGAGAGGACGAUCAGCCACACUGGGACUGAGACACGGCCCAGACUCCUACGGGAGGCAGCAGUGGGGAAUCUUGCGCAAUGCG
RNAcentral lists this ribosomal RNA (354 nucleotides) under uncultured bacterium. RNAcentral's name for it is "bacterial SSU rRNA". It matches the Rfam family "Bacterial small subunit ribosomal RNA", at positions 28 to 375 of the family's 1533-position model. The record is from RNAcentral.